AACGCACCUUGCGCCCUUUGGCCAUUCCGAAGGGCAUGCCUGUUUGAGUAUCAUGAACACCUCAACUCAUUAUGGUUUUCCAUGGUGAGCUUGGACUUUGGGGGUCUUGCUGGCCUACGGUCGGCUCCUCUAAAAUAAAUCAGCUUACCAGUGUUUGGUGGGUAUCAUGGGUGUGAUAACUAUCUACGCUUGUGGUUUUUCCACCGGGUAACCUUCGGCAGUGGAGGUUCACUGGAGCUCAUAGAUGUCUCUCCUCAGUGAGGACAGCCCUUUGAAUGUUUGAUCUCAAAUCAGGUAGGACUACCCGCUGAACUUAA
This 317-nucleotide unclassified non-coding RNA is filed under the name uncultured Thelephoraceae. Its description in RNAcentral is "sequence contains ITS2". Lineage: Eukaryota; Fungi; Basidiomycota; Agaricomycetes; Thelephorales; Thelephoraceae. The record is from RNAcentral.